CCCUAAGUAGUGGCGAGCGAACGGGGACUAGCCCUUAAGCUGAUUUGGUUCUAGGAAAAUGCUCUGGAAAGAGCAGCCAUAGAAGGUGAUAGCCCUGUAUCUGAAAGGGCCAUUUCAGUGAAGACGAGUAGGGCGGGGCACGUGAAACCUUGUCUGAAUAUGGGGGGACCAUCCUCCAAGGCUAAAUACUCCUGACUGACCGAUAGUGAACCAGUACCGUGAGGGAAAGGCGA
Molecule: ribosomal RNA, 233 nt
Filed under: Thalassiosira minuscula
Lineage: Eukaryota; Bacillariophyta; Thalassiosirophyceae; Thalassiosirales; Thalassiosiraceae
Description: partial Bacterial large subunit ribosomal RNA
Rfam family: Bacterial large subunit ribosomal RNA
Source: RNAcentral